Molecule: transfer RNA, 84 nt
Filed under: Parasitella parasitica
Lineage: Eukaryota; Fungi; Mucoromycota; Mucoromycetes; Mucorales; Mucoraceae
Description: tRNA-Leu (TAA) (tRNA-Leu-TAA-1-1)
Rfam family: tRNA
About the family: Transfer RNA (tRNA) molecules are approximately 80 nucleotides in length. Their secondary structure includes four short double-helical elements and three loops (D, anti-codon, and T loops).
Source: Rfam by way of RNAcentral
AGUAUUAUGGCCGAGUGGUCUAAGGCGUCUGACUUAAGAUCAGAUCCUCGUAAGAGGGCGUGGGUUCGAACCCCACUAAUACUA